UAUGAUAGUUGAUUUUUUUCAAAGAAAAAAAAGAAACAUAAAUAAGACAAAUAUAAGAGUUGAUUUUAUGGCCAAUAUAAUGUCGUUGCAAAUUACAAUAAUAUAACAAAAUAGGGGAAGACCCAAUACUAGAGCAAGUUUUAGGUUUGUAUCCAUGACAGGAAGAUGAAAUGAGUAUUAAUUGGAGUUGAAGUAAGGAAUUGGAAGAAGUUGAAGAGGUGAUUUCUUGGAAACUGUAAUACCAAAUUCCUCUUCCAUGUCUAAAUCUUCUUCUUUCAUUCCAUUUGGUAAUUUCCAAUCAAAACACAUUAACAUAUUAGCCAACGUCAACUCUACCGUUGCAAUCCCCAUAUUCACACCUGGACAUAUUCUUCUACCAGCUCCAAAUGGAAUUAACUCGAAGUUUUGUCCUUUGUAAUCAAUAUUACUUUCCAUAAACCUCUCUGGACAAAACUCUUCUGGGUUUUUCCACGAAUCAGUGUCUCUUCCAAUUGCCCAUGCAUUCACAUGAAUACGAGUUUUUGGAUCGAUAUUGUAACCAUUGAGUUUAAAAUGAGACGUGGUUUCUCUUGGAAGCAAAAGUGGGACAGGUGGAUGAAGCCUUAAAACCUCUUUCAAAACCAAUUUUAGAUAUUGAAGCUUUUCGAGCUCGUUCUCCUUCACUUUAUCUUGCCCAAUUAUGGUGCUUCUGAUUUCAUGUUGUAGCUUCUUCAUUACUUUUGAAUUUCUAACUAGCUCUGACAUUGUCCAAACAAGUGUGUUUGCUUCUGUUUCUACUCCAGCUAGAAAUAAAUCCUUAAAACACACACACCAAAAAGAUGAACACGAGUGUGCUUGAUCAUGUCAGUUGAAAAAACUAAAUAUAUAUAGAUGUACAAUGACAUUGGAGACACACAUAUGAUUGGGGGUAGGAAAGUUCAAAACAUAGUUUUCACAAUUACUAACACGCUCGGAUGCAAGUUGAACUAAGCUACAAGAGAAAAUUACUUACCUUGAUAUGCCAUGCAAAUUUUAAAAAAAUCAUUUUGUAACCUCUCUUGUUACUUGUUUGGAAUUCUCAUUUAUACAUAUUAAAAAAAAAAAUUCCAAACUUAUUUAUAAUUUUGUAUCUUUUAAAACAAACAAUAAUAAAUAUGACAUGAAACUUUUGAAUAUUAGUAUACCAAAACUAAUGGGUUUUGUUAGAGAAUCUGCAUUCAAAAAUUAAAAAUGAUCCUCACAAGUUUUAAGAAAUAAUUUAAACGAUUUUGAAAUGAAACUAAAUGUCAUGCAUAAGAAAUUUAAGAUUUACCAUGACAACUGCCUUAAUGCAAUCUCGAGUGAAUUUGAUUGAACCAAAUUCAUAGCAAUCUCUCUCCAUUCUCAACAAAACAUCAAGAAUGUUUUCUUCUUUUUGACAAACUGUCCUAAAGUUAAUACGAUCCUCAAUUACAUGUUCUAAAAACGCAUCCAACUCCUCAAAGUUUUUCUCGAGCCGCCCAUGAACACCGGUGAGCCGAUCAAUAAUCCAUCCGAAGCUGGGAAAGAAAUCACUUGCCGAGAAGCAUCCGAUCGCCGCGCUCGCUCUUUGUAUAACCCCCUCAACAUUACCAUCAUCUAGUUCACUUUCACUCCCUCUAAUACUCUUUCCAAACGCAAUCCUAGUAAGGAUAUUAGACGUGAGAGAAUACGAUUUUACUGUAAAAUCAAAUAGAGUUGAAGAAGAUGAGGAUUGAGAGAUGGAAUUCACAAGUUGAUUCACUUCCUCUUCUCUAAUAUGCUGAAAAGAUUGCACACGUUUGGGACUAAAGAGCUCAGAGAUAUAAAUCUUACGAAGCUCCCUCCAGUGAUCGUCGUAAGAGGAAAAAAUCAAAUCUAAGAAGUUGUAUGAAUAUUUUGCGGUCGCCGCUAAGCGAGGGCGGCUACAAGAAGCAAGGUCAUGGCAUUUGAACAGCUCUUUUGCAAUCUUUGCAGAAGAAAUGAUGACAGUCGGGACAGAGCCAAAUUUGAGGAGCAUAAUGGGACUGUGGGUUCUGGAAAGGUUCCAUAAGGAGCGAUGGGGGUGAGAGCCAAGGAGGUGUAAAUGACCUAACAAAGGAAGCUUGGGAGGGCUUGGAGGAGGAAGAAAUUUAUGGUUAUUGUUGUGUUUAAGUUCAACAUUUUUCUUGGUUUUUAGAAGGAUCAGAGAACAUAAGAAAAAGAGAAGAGAAAGGACACAAAUGGAAAGGCUAUUCAUAUUGUAUGACUCAACUAUAGCAUUUGAGAGAUGAAGAUCAAAAAGAAAGGUACAAAGUAAUGGACAUUGUGUUGGUAGGGUUAUAUAGGAAAUAUAAGUCAAUUAUAUCUAUAUCUAUAUAUAUAUAUAUUCGAAUUCAAUAUAACUUGUAUAUCUCUUUAUUGUGCACUAUUGUAAUAAUUAAUUCUUUUUUGUACACUUGAUAGAAAAUGGAAAGUCUUUCAACCUUCUUCUGAUCUUUCAGUUUCUACUCUGCCAGAAAAAAUAUAAUUUGCAAAAGAUGUGAGGGAUAUGACUUAAUAAACUAAACCAUUUUCGAUGUAUUUUGAAAUUUAUUUUCUUGUUACCCAAUAUUUUUCACUUCUCUAAUAGGGUAAAGGAAAGAGUGAUGAUAUUAUUGCAAAUCAUACAUUUUUCUUUUUUCAUUAAAUUUAUCACCAUUCCUAUCUUUUCAUACUUUCUUAUUUCUACUUUUCUUUUUCCUUUUACAUAGAUUUGUUGUUCCUCCUUUUGACACUCUUCCUCUCCCCUCCUCUAUCUCUUUCAUUCUCAAUGUAAUACCAAAAGAUUGUGUCCAUUUAAUCACUUGAAAAAGGAGAACCAUAAGUCUUGAUUUACAUAAUAAUACUUAACUUAAUUAAUUAGUUAAUCACAUUUAGUAAACUCUUGAUUUGGAUAUCUUGUAGGGCUGAUGUAGGCAUUCCUGGAGAAAAAAUGAAUUGGGGUAUAAGUUUGGAGAUUCGUGAAAAGUUGUAGGAUUUCUAUAAUUAUAUAUUGUAACUUCAAUAAGAAGAUUAUCAUUAAUGAAAAGUUGUUUCCACACACGUCUUGAACACAUUUAUUUUACAUAAAAGUUUAAGAAAGAUGAUGAUACUAACACUAAGAAAUGGAAUUUGUCAUUAUCAUCUACUCCAUCUUUAUCCAUUUUCAGUAUUAGGCAACCAAUUUUAGUCUCUUAAUUUCUUCCAAAAAACCUAAUCAUCUUCUCUUUAUCAUCCAAACAAAACGCAACCCAUCUACUUUUACUUUAUUAACUUACUAACUACCAUUUCAAUUAAUUAUAUUUCUUUUCCUUAUGAAAAAAAAAGUAAAUAGUAAAUAGCUCUACUAAUGGAUAAAUUUUUAAAAAUGUCAAAUCCAUUCUUAACUGUCUAUCCUUGAUAGUCGCUAAAAUCAACUCAUACCACAUCUCUCAAAUUUACGUAUUUAUAUAAAUUAUAUUUAUCAUAUAUGCUUAUGGUUUAAUUUUCAUCAUUUGUGUGUUUAAAUUUUAUAGUUAUGGCAACUUUGGGAGUUUAAUUUUAACACAUUUAGAAAUUUAAUUUUUCAAUCAUUGCUAUUAUUGAAAGUUUAUGCACCAUAUGUUUGGGGCAGUUUUUGCAUUGUACAUCAUUAAAGACACUCCUCACUUUAGGGUUCAAAAUAUAAAAAAGUCCAACAAGCGAAAAUGAAUAUUAAUUAUUAAAGAGAAAGUAAUACCUGCUGUGAUAUUAUUCAUAUAACUAAUUAAUUCAAAAGUUAAGUUGAUAGGUGAAGAUGAAUUUAAUCGUAUAUUAUUUAGAAAGGAAUUUGGGCAAAUUGACUAAAAAGAAGUGCUUAAAGCCUACCAAGAAGAUUCAAAGGGAGAAUGCAUAAUUGUAGACACGGGUACGUAUCAAACUACUUCAUUAAUCAAUGUCAUACCCUUCGUGUUUGAAUCAAAUUUGUUUGUCCAAUCAAUUAUUUGUUGAACUAUGUAAAUUGAUGUAAUCAUGGCAUUUAAUCUAUGAGACACACUAAACUAAAGAUAAUAUAGAUAUUCAUAUAACAUGGAAAAUAUGAGUUAGACAAAACUUACUUAUUGAGUUCUUCGACUCAUAAUCUUAUAUAUAGAUGAUUGAAACACAAACAAAUAUACAAAUAUAUACAUACAUACAUAUGACAGACACUUUUGGUGAUCCUCAUCCUCAAGAGUUACGACUCGAAACAAAUAAUAGGCACAAGGCUUGUGGGUGUGGGAGGAAGAUAUAAUGACUUUAUUGGACUUAUUUCUCAUCUUCUCAUAUCACAUCACCAACCUCGUUGAAAAAGAUCCAUCAGAAAUAAAAUCAAAACAAACAUUGUGAUAUUUUCAAAUACAAUCUAAACAACAAAAAUUUCACACAUUGGACAGCCAUAGAAUUACACGUGAUAUUUUAUUAUAAGUGAAAAUAUAUUUUUGUUUUAAAAUAACUUUUAUAUAUCAAAAUAAGUUAUUAAUAGUUAUAAUGAAAAUAAAGAUAACUAGAUUAAAGAAGUAUUUUUAAAAAUAACAAAAUAAAUUAAAAUAUUUAUAAAUUAUACUAAAAUUUUAGAUUUUAUAUGAUAUUAGAAGUAUAUCAAUGUCUAUUAUUGAAAAUUAUAUUAUAUGUUGUAAAUAUUUUAUCAAAUCUAUUAUUUUUGACAAUUCUUCCAAAUUAAAUAAGUCAUCAUCUAUCAGUAAUCUGUUAUUGUCUGUCCAGCAGCUAGGAGAUUUGGCUUUCACACCCAGGAGAUCCGGGUUCAUAUAUAAGUUUGGAUUAAUAGUUUAAUCGCUAUCCAUUGAAGAAUUAUAAUGAAUUGAUCAAAAUGUAGGUAACAAAUUAAUCAAUGUCAUGUUGUAUUAAAUAUAAUCAUAUGUACUGCAUGUGUUAUAGAUUAUGGAAUUGGCCACAGUAUCUGUUUAAUGAUAAUGUUUGAGUUUGUUCCUCGGAUUGUUUUAGUGAUAUUUAAUACAGAAAUUAUAUAUAUUGUUUGUCUCUCCCAACACAUUCAAGAAUACGUAGAUAUAUAUUAUUAUGCAGAGACGACUUUAAUUUUCUUUAUCUGAAAAAAAGUUAUGUAUACUUAUUAUUUUAUGGAUUGUUUCUAAUUUGUUUAUCCUUUGUAGAUUUUGAAAGGGGACCAAUAUGUUUUCCCGUGUUGUGUCUAUUUAAAUCUCGAAGAAGAUGGUGUAAGUUGUAUACUUACUUUAGGUUUCUUGGUAGCUAAAGAUGUCAAUGUUUAUUCUUUUUGUAUGUAAACUACAUGGUUAUUAGUCAAUCCCUAGUGUACGAAUAUUACAAUAAAUAAGGCGCCAUAAGACGGGUUCGAAGGCGCCUCCAAAGUCAAAUUCUCUAAUGGGCAAUAUUCUUUGCACCUUCCAGUCGCUUCGCGCCUUUGUAGUUAAUAAUGGGGAUAUGCUCAUUCAUAUGGAUCAAAAUGAGUCAUUCGCUCAAUAUCCUUUGAGCCUAACGAUCAAAGAGAAAUUCAUACUAUCAAGAAUGACCGAAGCGAAGGUUCAACUUCAUUCCUAGGGCAUGCUCGAAGGACUAUGAACCAUAUAUUCGCUUGUGAGAAGGGGAGGACUCCUAGAAAUAAGAAAAUCUGAUGAUUAUCUAAUAUAGGUUGGCCGUACUUGUGAUGGUUCCCAAGGAUCCAAUAUGACCACUUAGGUUUAGCGGGCAAGCUCGGCCUGGUUUUUUUGUCUCGCAACAACAGAUAAAAGAUGCACAUUAAACUAAAACAUCUAAUAAAAAUCCAACACAAACAAGUUAAACAUCUUUCAAGUUGAUAGAAUCAUAUCACUGGAAGCUAAACAAUAGCACAUAAAAAUGUACAUUAAACUAAAUCAAGUGCUAACAUCCUGAUAGUCUAUCAGUGAUAUAAACAUAUCACCUAUAGAACUUAACUUUAAGUAACAAUACACAAAUGGAAAAAAAUAGCAUAACCAAACAGAAAAUGAAGAAAUUGAUUUCAAACAAAUAGAAAAAGAAGAAAAUCUAUUUCAAACAGACUACGACCAAACGAAAAAGAAAGAUAUCGGAAGAACGAAAAUAUAACUUACAAUUUCAAACGAAAAGCAAAGAAGUCUGGAGAUGAUGAAGUGGAGAAAUCGAAAACAACAUAGACGAUGGAACAAAGGUACUGGCGGGAAGACCAAAUGAAAGAUGAAGAAAUGAGAAGAAAGUGGAAGAUGGAAGGAAAAUGUGAAGCGGUGGAAGCGUACAUGAAGGCACCAGAAUUGGAAGAUGAAGAAUUGGAAGAUGAAGAAAUCAAAAGUGUGUUUGAAAUUGGAAUAUGAAGUGGUGGAAGCGUGAGAUGGAUCUUCUCUUUUUGUUGUAGGGGUAUUUUGGUAUUUUACCUUAGGGUUGUAGUUGAAAUUUGUCAUAUUUGCAACUUUUUACUCUUUGUUAUAUAUGAUAGUUGCAAAUUUAGCAAUUAGAUUCAAAAUAAAAAAAUUGUAAAUAUAGCAAAAUUUGUUAAAUUCUAUCAAUGAUAUAAGUCUAUCACCGAUAGACCAUGUUGCAAAUAUUGAUCUAUCGCUGAUAGAAAAUACGAAGAAGUCUAUCAGUGAUAGUUUUGCUAUAUUUGCAACUUUUUUUAAAUGUUGUUAUAUCAUAAAUUAUUAUUCCUAAAAUGGUCAUCAAUUGCAAUUUCCAUUGUUAUAUCCUAAUUAAUUAAUUUAGAGUCAAAUGUUAUAUCCCUAGUUGGCCCCUCAAAUUAAUUAAACAAUAAAUAAUGUCCCAUGCCAGUUCUAAAAUGACACGAUUGAUUGAAGUUCAUUUUUACAUCUUUGAUUUUAGUUAAUAUAUAGUUUGAGACGUUUCUUAAUACAAUAUCAAAUCUAUCACAAUAAGACAAAACUAACUUAUCCUUAUAACAAUUCCAAUUCUUGUAUAUAAUAUCAACUUCUGACUGAAUUCUAGUACACAAUUAUAAGAACAAACCAAUUAUACCAAUCAACAUACGUAACAAUGCUUUCGGGUAAAAUUCGUUGUCCUCAUUUUUUAGACAGUGUGUUGAAAGUGUUGACGAGCCUACUCUAAUUCACUUUAACUCUCACAAUUUUUUAAAAGAAUAAACUUGUUCUCUUAUAAAACUCAAAAACACACAAGAGAAAGAAUAUUGUUCUCUCGAAACUCACACUCUUUUUCUAAACUUCAAUAUGCUUCAAUUGAUUUGAUUUUCUUUUCUUUCUUGGAUAGAAAGGAAAUGAACUUUUUAUUUGAUCAAUAUAUGUUUAUUUCGUUCGGAUAACAAAUAAACUAAAAGGUAGUUUAAGCUAUGUAAGGGAUGGGAACAAGUUUAAGUGGUGAUUUUUUGGCAACACUAAUACCAAAAAAAUCCUCUUCCAUAUCUACAUCUUCUUCUUUCAUUCCAUCUCCCAAUUUCCAAUCAAAACAAAGUAACAAAUUAGCCAAUGUCAACUCUACUGUAAAGAUUCCCAUAUUCAUUCCUGGACAAACUCUUCUACCACCUCCAAAAGGUAAUAAUUCAUAAUUUUGUCCUUUAUAAUCAAUAUUAUUUUCUAUAAACCUUUCUGGGAUAAACUCUUCAGGGUUAACCCAACACUCUGGAUCUCGUCCAAUGGCCCAUACAUUGACAUGAAGAUGAGCCUUUGGAUGUAUAUCAUAACCAUUAAGCUUAAAAUGAGACGUGGUUUCUCUUGGAAUGAGAAGUGGGACUGGUGGGUGCAACCUUAGAACCUCUUUCACUACCAUUUUUAGAUAUGGAAGCCUUUCAAGGUCCGUUUCUUUUACUUGUUCCUUUUUUAUGUAGCUUCUAAUUUGGUCUUGUAGCUUUUUCAUUACUCUAGGCUUUCUAAUUAGCUCUGCCAUUGCCCAAACAAUGGUGUUUGCUCCAGUUUCCACUCCUGCUAUAAAGAUAUCCUAAAAAGAACAACACUUAAAAUGAAACUUGAAUUUUGUUUGAUAGCAAUAAGAUUAAAAAAUGAAAGUUGAAUUUUGUUUGAUAACAAUUAACUUUUUUUUAAAAAAAAAAAAAUUUAAAAGAAUAAUAUUGACACACCCAUUUUUAUGUGUUAGACUCUUUCUAAGCCUACCGAAAAAACAAUCAAAAUAACUUAAAAGUAAAGUAAAGAAUAUCGAAUAGUUUAAUAGGAUGGACAAAGGUAUAGAUGCACCUAAAUCUUUCUAUUUUGAAAAUUAAACUUAUGAACGUUAUUUUAUAUCUUACAUCUUUUUUUUUGUUAUCUAAUAAUUUUUUCACAAAUAUUUCAUAAAACCAUUCAAAGUUCUGAAAACUAAAUACCGCCACGUGCUAGAGACGAUGCGGAACGGCCAACGUCCUCAAAAGAGCUAUUUUUAAAAGAAAAUAGGAGUUUUAAUCUCUUGACACUAGUCUCCUUUUUUUAAAAAAAAAAUUAUGUUUAGACACAUUUAGAUGGGUUGCAGAAAAUAAGUGAUGCAUGCAUAUAAUUAGACACACUUAUGUUUUUUUACGAGGAAAAAAAGACUUAGAUACAACGUCAGAUUGUACCUAUUACAAAAAGAAGAAAAAAAAGAUUAAAAACAAAAAUUCAUAACUUAUGAUUAGACACAUUUAGAUGAGUUGCACAACACUAACUGAUGCAUGCUAAAAAAUAUAGUUGGACGAUGGGUAGGUUGGACCCAUCUAAUUUAUGCAACUUUACUCAAUUAAAAAUUUUAAUGUGACCCAAGUAAUUUUGUGUGUGUGUGUGUGUUUUUUUUUAUUGAAUUGUUAUUUUUUUGCUGUAUAAUAUAUAUAUGACAGCUCGGAGAUAACUACUAAUUGCCAUUUUUCUUUUUGACUUUAGUUAAGAAUUUAAAUGUUUCUAAGGAUGAACUGACCCCUCUAUUAUUGUUCCCAUGUGAAAAAAUCUAACUAAUUUUCAAGAAUGAAAUGAUUAUAAAAUACAGAACCACGUAAUUAAAAUUUUAAAAUAUUUAGCUUAUUACCUUGAUUAUUGCUUUAAUGCAAUCUUGUGUAAGGAUGAGUGCAUCAGAUUGAAAGCCGUCUCUCUUCAUUCUCAACAAAACAUCAACAAUGUUUUCUUCAUUUCCAGAAGUUCCCUUGUCCAUGUUUAUACGAUCAUCGACUACCUUUUGAAAAAAAGCAUCCAUCUCACCAAAGCUCUUCUCCAGCUUCCCAUGAACACCACUGAUUCGAUCAACAAUCCAACCGAAACUCGGAAAGAAAUCGCUAAUUGAGAAGCCUUUAAUGGCGUCAAUUGUUCUGCGCAUAACCUUUUGAAAAUUUUGGUUAUCUAGUUCACCCCCUCUAAAGCUCUUCCCAAAAGCAAUUCUUGUCGUAAUAUUGGCAGUAAGAGAAUAGCUUUUGUCACCCAAAUCAAUUGGAUUUGAAGAAAAUUUUAAGGAUUGUUGAGAGAUUGAGUUUAUGAGCAAACUCACUUCCUCUUCUCUGAUAUGAUGAAAUGAUUGCACUCGUUUAGUACUAAAGAGCUCGAGUAUGAAAAUCUUUCGAAGCUCUCUCCAACGCUCGCCAUAUGGAGACAAACUCAGGUCUUGAAAGUUAUAGGAAAAUCUUGCACUUCCCAUUAAGCGAGGGCGGCUGCAAGAUGCGAGAUCAUGGUGUUUGAAUAGCUCUCUCGCGGCUGUUGCGGAAGAAAUGACGACGGUCGGGAUGGAGCCGAGUUUCAGAAGCAUGAUGGGACCGUAUGUUCGUGAAAGGUUGCAUAAAGAGUGAUGAGGGUGGGAGCCAAGGAGGUGUAAAUGACCCAAUAAAGGAAGCUUUGGAGGGCUUGGAGGAGGAUUAGUAAUAAGCUUCUUGUUGUUGCUGUGAAUAAGCUUUUUUGUUUUGAGAAGAAGUAGAGAAGUUAAGAGAAAAAGGAGAGGAAACCAUAUGAGAAUGCUAUUCAUCAUCAUCUCUCAACAGUGUAAUAAUGCAUUUCCAAUGUUUGGGCAAAGUCUAUAUAUAUAGGGAACUUUUAUCAUAUAUGUUUUUAAAUACACAAGUGCACUAAGUAACUUACUGAAUCUUCGACUUUGAGAUGGAAGUCAUGUCCAUACCACCUAGACAAGCUCAGUCUACGACAAACACUUCUAUCGUGCUCGUUAUUUAAAAAAAAAAAAAAGAAGAUAAAUUUACCAGCGAGUGAAGCUACCUUACGAGUCUGGUAAAAAUUAAAUAAAAUAGCACUUAAUCAUAAAAAUUAAAAUUAAAAGAAAAAUUGUAUUUGAUAGCAAAAAUAACCAACCAUUUGAGAUAAUGAGAUAUUGUUGAGAUAUUUGCAAUCUUGUCUCCAAUAAUUUUCACCUUUCCAAAGCUAUUAGCGUCUGCAUCCUAAAAACUCCAUGAAUUUUGAUAGUUAAAGGAUGACCACACACCACACUUAAAAGGGACAGCAAUAGCCAUUUUUAACAGGAAGGUCAUGCUGCCUAUAAGUGAAUUAUUGAGGUCAGUCUAAAAAGUCAUCAAAGCAAGCUAACAAAUAUGUGUUCACAGAGCCAAUCCAAACAUCUCUGUUAGGGAGCAUAUAUAUAUAUAUAUGACACUAUGUAUACCCUUUCAGUCUUUUACCUGAUCUUGUAAUUAAUUUUUAAAACUAAAAAGAAUAUGAUAAAUUAUUUUAAGUAACAAAACUUUUGAAUAUAUUAAUAAAUAUAGCAAAGUAUAUUACAAAGGGUAAUCUAUCUUGAUUUAUAUUCAUUGUUCAUUGUAAAUAGACUAUCAUAUCUUACUAUAUUUAAAAAUAAUAAUCAUUUUAAUUAAUUAGCUGUCGUUAAUUCAUCAUUGCUAUUAAAAUUAAGUAUAAAACGUUCUUCAUUUUAAAUUAAUUAACUAAAAAUAAUUAAUGUCAAAGAUUAGAGAGUGAGGCAUUAGCUAACACUUUUUUAGUGCAACGGGGAUAAAAAUCAAACCUUCAAAAUAUUGGUAAGAAGUUCAUAUUAAUUAUUAUUGUUGUGUUAAAUUAAUUUUGAUUAUUGCACAUGAACUUUAUUUGGCUUCGUUGAUGGCUCUAAUCCAAAACCUGCAAGAAUUCUUGCAGAAACUACCAUGGGUGUCUCUCCAUCUUCUUCAUUCGACCCAACCGCUUCUGCCCAAACAACAACACCCACCCAACCAAACCCACUCCAUGAUGAAUGGAUUGCCAAAGAUCAUGCCUUCAUCACCCUCAUCAAUGCUACCCCUCUCUUCCAGUGCCCUCUUGCCUACAUUUAUUGGCUGCUCCGCAUCCAAAGAUAUAUAUGGCAUACCCUAGAGAAACACUACCUAUCCAACUCUCAAGUCAAUGUGGUGAACCUCAAAUUUGAACUCCAAACCAUCUCCAAAGAAAGCAAGCGAAUCAAUAAACUUCUACAUUUGAAUGCAUCAAAGAACUAAAAGAUAAGUUGUCCAAUGUAUGUGUUAUUAUUGAUUAUGAAGUUCUUGCUAUUUAUACCAUGAAUGGAUUACCCUCUAAAUAUAAUAUCUUUCGAACCUCAAUGCGCAAUCAGAUCUACCUCAGUAUCCUUUGAAAAACUCCAUGUUCUUCUAAUAUCAUAAGAAUCUGCCAUUAAGAAACAGAUCACUACAUGUGUUCUAAAAUGGAAUUUGUUGUUCUUUGUCAUGUGCUAAUAAGAAAAGAAUACUAAUGACAUAAAUAAUAUGGGACAAGUCUUAAUAUUGGAGGUUAACUUCCAAACAUAUAUAAGCUUUUACGGGACAAAUCUAGCUAUAUCCUAAAUCCUUUACAAUGUAAUUUUUCUUUACUUAUCUUUUUCUCCUAUUAAUUACUUUCAGUACCCAUGACACCUCCCUUCACAUGUGUGGUAAAUUUAAGAAGAAACAAAUAUAUAUUGAACAAAAAUUAUUUUUUAAGAAUUGACUUAUAUACAAGCUUAGUCUCUAGAUUUUAAAACUUAUAUUUGGUGUAUGAACCUUAAGAGAAUGUUGUUGAACUUAAUUUUAAGUUGUGAGGAUUAAAUCUUAGUUUUAAAAUUUUGUGUCCAAUCAAUUUGAUAGCGUUUUCCUUCACGGUUAUUUUGUGUGCUAUAAAUUAAUGCUAUUGGGGAUUGUGGUUUUGUUGUGGGUUUUUUAUUGCUCCUUUAAUGAAAGUUUAUUUUUAUUUUCAAAAUAAUAAUAAUUGCAAUACUUAAUUAAUAUUAAUUUAGAGAAGAAAAUAAAUGGGAUGUUGAUACCCAAAUAUCUUUCUCAUUUAAUUAUUACUUUCGAUACAUUAUCUAAAAUUUCAACGUUCAAUUAGCUAAAUGUUUGGAAUAUAUUAUGUGUGUGUAUGUAUGUAUGAGAAAUUAGGUGGCUGUCUUUCUCUAAUCACACUAAUUAAUUAUUCGUAACAAAUAUGGACAAAAACGUAAGAGUCUUUUCUCAAUGAUAACUAUACAAGAUAAUCUUUUUUUUUCCCUCUACCCUCUUGUACUAAACUAUAAAUAAAUCACAUAUAUUUUGUUACUCUUAAUCUUUUAAAUUAAAUUUGAAUUAAAUUUGUUAAAUUUUUUAUUUAUUAUGUGAAUCACUUGAAAAUUGGAUAUUUAAUACCAAAAGAUUGUGUCCAUUUAAUCACUUGAAAAAGGAGAACCAUAAGUCUUGAUUUACAUAAUAAUACUUAACUUAAUUAAUUAGUUAACCACAUUUAGUAAACUCUUGAUUUGGAUAUCUUGUAGGGCUGAUGUAGGCAUUCCUGGAGAAAAAAUGAAUUGGGGUAUAAGUUUGGAGAUUCGUGAAAAGUUGUAGGAUUUCUAUAAUUAUGUAUUGUAACUUCAAUAAGAAGAUUAUCAUUAAUGAAAAGUUGUUUCCACACACGUCUUGAACACAUUUAUUUUACAUAAGAGUUUAAGAAAGAUGAUGAUACUAACACUAAGAAAUGGAAUUUGUCAUUAUCAUCUACUCCCAUCUUUAUCCAUUUUCAGUAUUAGGCAACCAAUUUACGUGUUUGUAUCAAUUAUAUUUAUCAUAUAAGUUCACAGUUUAAUUUUCAUCCUUUGUGAUUUCAAAUUUUAUAGUUAUGGUAAUUUUGGGAGUUUAAUUUUAACACAUUUAGAAAUUUAAUUUCUCAAUCAUGCUAUUAUUGAAAAGUUUAAAAUGUUUCCAACCAUACCACCAUAUGUUUGGGGCAGUUUUUGCAUUGUACAUCAUUAAAGACUAUCAUCACACCCUAAUAUGGUUGAUGACGACUUCAAAUCUAUUUAUUUAUUAAAAUUAAAUAAAUGGAGAGGUCGGCCGUUAUGCGUAGCGAUCACGUCGCGACAAAGUUGAUAGGUGAAGGUGAAUUUAGUCGUAUAUUAUUUAAGACAUAUAGUAGCUGAUGCAAAUUACGAACAAAUAUACAAAUAUAUUGAAACACGAACAAAUAUACAAAUACAUACAUACAUAUGACGACACUUUGGUGAUCCUCAAGAGUUACGACUCCAAACAAAUAAUAGCCCCACAAGGCUUGUGGGUGUGGGAGGAAGAUCUAAUGACUUUAUUGGACUUAUUUCUCAAUCUUCUCAUAUCACAUCACCAACCUCGUUGAAAACGAUCCAUCAGAAAUAAAAUCAAAACAAACAUUGUGAUAUUUUCAAAUACAAUCUAAACAACAAUAAUUUCACACAUUGGACAGCCAUAGAAUUAUAUGUGAUAUUUUAUUAUAAGUGAAAAUGUAUUUUUUAUUUAAAAUAAUUUUUAUAUAUCAAAGUAAAUUAUUGAAUAGUUAUAAUGAAAAAUAAAGAUAACUAAAUUAAAGGUGCAUUUCAUACAAUAACAAAAUAGAUUAAAAUAUUUAAAAACUAUACAAAUUUUUUGAAUUAUAUUAUCUGUUUAAUGAUAAUGUUUGAGUUUGUUUCUCGCAUUGUUUUAGUGAUAUUUAAUACAUAAAUUAUAUAUAUUGUAAGUCUCACACAAUAUAUUCUAGAAUCUGUAGAUAUAUACUAUUACGUAGAGACAACUUUAAUUUUCUUUAUCUGAAAAAAGUUGUGUAUACUUAUUAUUUUCUCCAUUGUUUCUAAUUUGUCUAUCCUUUGUAGAUUUUGAAUGCCUAUUCUCUCGUGUUGUGUCUAUUUAAAUCUUGAAGAAGAUGGUGUAAGUUGUAUACUUAUUUUAGGUUUGUUGGUAGCUAAAGAUGCCAAUGUUUAUUCUUUUUGUAUGUAAACUACGUUUAACAGACGAUGGUUAUUAGUCAAUCCUAGUGUACGAAUAUUACAAACUAUAUCAUAACGUAUAUAUAUUAAAAUGUUGACUAUUUGUUUUUAUAUGAGUGCAAUUUAUUAUAACAACUUUGUGAUUGAACUGGUUAGCAAGACAUAUAUUUUAUUGUAAAAAAAAUGUAGUAAUUGAGAAAUAUACGACAGAAAAAAAUGUCAUAAUAUAUUAGUUCAUUACAUUUUGUAACUGUCAUCAAUAUAAUGACAUUUUAUUUUAUAGAAACGGUCACGAUUUGCAUAUCCUUGACAGAGAAAAAUGUUAUAUUAUAUGAAUUAGUGACAUUUUAUAACUGUCGUCAUAAAAUAAAAUAUGACAGUUAUUUGUUGUCAUAAAAUAUUAAAUAAUAACAUCUAUUUUAUGUCAUGAAAAUAUUCAUUGUGGCCAUUUUUUAAAACGGUCAUAGAAAAACUUUCUAAAACAAUUAUUAUAUUAAAUAUUACUGAAUAUAUAUUCUUUUUUUAAAAAAUGUUGGAUAAAAAUGUUUUUCAAAAAACUUUUUAAAAAAUAGUGCUGAAAUACAUAAAGAAAAGUUGUUGAUUUCUCUUUAAUUUUUUUGUUUUUUUUGAAAUAUAAAAAAUACUCCAAGUUACUAAGAUGUCAAUUCAUUAACAAAAAAUCAAAAUUGACAAAUGAAAUGUUGUUAACCUUUGUUAAAAAAAUUCAUGCAAAUGUGAUAAUUGAACCAACUUAAGUUAAAAAAAUCAAUGAAUGAAAUUAAAAAUAAAUACAUGUGUAAAUGCAUACAAGAUUUAAAAGUGAUGUUAAUUUUAAAAUUUCUAAAUGAUAAAGGUUUCCAAUAUAGUCAAAGUCAUACAUGACGACGAAUUGACCAAGUUAAGUGAGAAUUUUUCAUGAGACUGCACGGAAGCAUAAGAUUCUCGAAGGUCAACACUACUCCGUUCUCAAUUCUAAUCUUAUGAAAGUAAAAUCUGGUAGGAAGCUCGUGAUUGUGUGUAAUAAUUAAAUGCAUAAUAAAUUUAGAAUAAAAUUAAAGACUAAAAUAAUUCAAGAUAAAAGAGAAAAUGGUCAAACUCUCGAGGUAAAGCCUCCUUUCCCCAGCAGAGUUGUCAAGCUGUCGCCACGUGCCCGAGACAACGCGGAGCGGCCGACGUCCUCAAAAGAGUUAGUUUUAAAAGAAAAUAAGAGUCGUGACCAAUUUUUUUUACGGUGUGAUUGGACACUUAUAAAAUAAAUAGUUUUUAAAAAAAAUGGUCUGCGAAGAAUAGAGUUGAGUUCGAGAGUCAUUUGUGUGUGGGGAAGGUAUUAGUACCCACAACACCCAUUUAGAAAAACGGUGGUCAAAUUUCAAAUCUUGAAUUGAAAAUAUUUUUUAAUUUAUUUUAAAACCAAUGUCUUAUUUUACCCUUUAUUACUCCAAUGUUUGUAGCAAUAAUCUCAUAAAAUAAGUAGAAUAAUAUUCCAUUAAUUAUACUAUAUAUUGAAGAAAAGUUUCACACCUUAAGAAAAUGAGAAAUUAUUACAAUUUCUCAAAAUCUAUCAUAGGACUAGUCUUUGAAUAAAGAUUUUUUUAAAAUAUUGAUUGAAUUCAUUUUUUCUUGGGAUCAAAUCUCGGACUCCCAAGGAAUUUUGAUCCCUCACCUCAAGAAAUCUAGAAAAUUAGACUUCCAAAUUUCCUAGAUUUCGUCGUAGAAUUUUGUUUAACGAAAACAGUAUAAGUUUUUAGAAAAUAUUGAUUUAGAAAACCUUAUGAAAUCAUAGGUUAAAUUUUGAAGGUUUUGAAAAAACAUAAAACAUUUAUAGCAUUAGCGACAAAUUUGCUAAAUGAUUAAAAAAAACUUUAUUUUAAAACAUUAAAAAAUUUAAAUACAAACAGUAUCUAACAAAUAAUUAUUAUGAUUUUAACGUGAAUAAGUAAUAGAAAAGAAACAUCGUAACAACAAAUAAUAACAACAAACAAAAUGGGGAAAUAAAAAAAGGUAAAAGGAAAAGAAUAAGGAAAGUAUAAAUUAAGAAAGAAAGAAAAGAAAACAGCAACAUGUAUAAAAUUAAAAACAAAAAUGAAGAGAAUAAUAGUAAUAAAUUACAAUUAUAAUUAUUAAUAAGAAGAAGAAUAAUAGGUAAAAAAGAAAACAAAACAGUAAUAGUAAUAAAAUAGUAAUAAUAACCAUAAAAGAAAACAGUAAUAAUAAAAAAACAAUAAUGAUAAUAGCUAUAAUAAUAAUAAAUUUUCAUCUAUCCUCGUCUUUCCCUCUAUAUUUUAGAGAAGAAAAUAAAAGUUAAGAGCUGGAAUAAGAAAAAAGUAAAGAAAUAUGUAUUGUUAUUGAUGAUUUUUGCAUUCGUUGUUGAAGUUGAGUUUUCUAUAACUAUGGUAGAUCUCCGGAGAGAGAUUGUUAAUUCAAUAUAGUAUUUAGGGAAGCGUAAAUAUGAUGAAAGUGAAGGGAUCUCAUUCUUAGAGGGAGCCAUCUUGUCAUAUAUUUUUGUGACGUUGUGCUUGAUAUUAUGUUCUGUAUUAAAUACGUUUGCCUUUUCAUAUAUGACAUUUUCAUUUCUCGUAAAAAAUGAGUUUAACUCUAAAACAUUUUUCUAUAUUAAUAAAUAUUUACAUUACUUAAAAUAAUUUCUCAUUUUCUUUUUUAUUUUACAAAUUAAUUACUAGAUCACGUUAAUAUAAAGGACCGAAAGCGUAUACAUAGUGAACAAAUGAAUUAAUAAAUCUUCAAAAUGUAAAUUUUAAAAACUUUUUCACUGAAAGCAAACAAAACUCAAGGGUAAAAGUUCUGUAUUCUAGAUUUUUGGAUUGGCUACUGUGAACACAUAUAUUUGUUAGCUUCCUUUCGAUGACUUUUAGACUGACCUCAAUAAUUAACUUAUAGCAGCCUUCUUCCUGCUAAAAAUGGCUACUGCUGUCCCUUUAAGUGUGCUGUGUGGCCAUCCUUUAAGUAUCAAAAUUCAUGGAGUUUUCAAGAUGCAGAUGUACCUGGCUACAUAUGUUUUACACCAGAAUAUAAUGGGCCAAUUGUCUUCAAAAGAGAACGAAGGACUCUACCUAUUCAUCAAUGAUGGUCCAAUCUAGUAAUUGUACUAUCUAGCUUUUUUGAAAAUAUUAAGGUGGCACCCAAUAAAAAAAUGUGACAUGUGACACUUUUUAAAAAAAUUAUUUGUUAAUAUUUUUUUUCUGUGGGUAAAGGUGAGGAAGAGAACAAAUUCGACUGCAGGUAAAGAGAAAUGUCUAUGAGGAGCUAGCUCAUACAAUUUUAACGUCAUUCCUUACGUAUACCAUAUUUUACUAGAAACGUGCGCAUCCAAUCGAAGUUCCACAUUGGUUAGAUAAGGAGAUAAUCUUUGGUAUAUAAGUGAGAACAACUAUCCUCAUUGGGAUGAGGUCUUUUGAAAUGAUAUCAAAAUCACAAGUCAUGAGAUCAUGAGAGUGUAUAACCAAAGUGGAUAAUAUCAUACAUUUGUAGAGAUAUUUAGAGGUUUGCUAUCCUAACAAAACGUCUAAUAUUAAGAUAACAACUCUAAAAAUAUCUUCGUAGUUAUUUUUUUAUAUUAUUCAUUUUGAUGGCUAAAAUUAAUAGUCGUUGUAAUGAUUUAAAUAAGACUUUUGUACCCAUGUAACCUAAAUAUAUUCAUCUUAAUUACACAAUUGUCUAAGAAUAUUAAUCAUAUAUUAUUCCUCUUUCUCAAUAUUUCAUUCCAGCAUAUAUCAUGCAAGACUUUCUCUAAUCAGUGAUGGUAACAAAAAUAUAAACUAAAUAAUAUAAUUCUAUAAGUAUGCAAGACCAAAAGUAGAUAGACAAGAAACUUAAAUGUGCAUGAAAGGUAAGAAUUUUUUUUAUAAAUUUUAAGAAUUGUUCAACAUUGUCAAAAAAAAUUUUUUAACAAUAUCUCAAAUGGAAGUUAAUAGCUUUGCAAAGGUGAAAAUUAUUGGAGACAAGAUUGUAAAUAAUAUGGUUUGUUGUUUUUACUAUCCAAUACAACUUUUCUUUUAAUUUAAACUUUUAUGAUUGUGUACAAUUUUAAUUAAUUUUUACCAGACUUGUAACAUUGCUUCACUGGUUGGUAAAUUUAAUUAUCAUUUUUUUAAAUAACGAGCACCAUAGAAGUGCUUGUCAUAGAUUGAACUUGUCUAAGUGGUAUUGUCAUGACUUCCAUCUCAGUGAGCUUCCUCAUUCCACUUGUGUAUUAAAUAUAUAUAUAUAUGAUAAAAGAUCCCUAUAUAUAUGACCUUGGAAAUGCACUGUUACAUUGUUGAGAUGAAGAUUGAUAGCAUUUUCAUAUGGUUUCCUCUCCUCUUUCUCUCAACUUCUCUACUUCUUCUCAAAACCAAAAGGCUUAUUUACAGCAACAACAAGAAGCUUAUCAUUAAUCCUCCUCCAAGCCCUCCGAAGCUUCCUUUAUUGGGUCAUUUACAUCUCCUUGGCUCCCACCCUCAUCGCUCUUUAUGCAACCUUUCACGAACACACGGCCCCAUCAUGCUCCUGAAACUCGGUUCUAUCCCGACCGUCGUCAUCUCUUCCGCAACAGCCGCGAGAGAGCUAUUCAAACACCACAAUCUCGCAUCUUGCAACCGCCCUCGCUUAACAGGAAGUGGAAGAUUAUCCUACAACUUCCAAGACCUGGCUUUUUCCCCAUAUGGUGAGCGUUUUAGAGAGCUUCGAAAGAUUUUCAUACUCGAGCUCUUUAGUACUAAACAAUCAUUUCAUCGUAUUAGAGAAGAGGAAGUGAGUUUGCUCAUAAACUCAAUCUCUCAACAAUCCAUAAACUUUUCUUCAAAUCCAAUUGAUUUGAGUGAAAAAAGCUAUUCUCUUACUGCCAAUAUUACAACAAGAAUUGCUUUUGGGAAGAGCUUUAGAGGGGGUGAAUUAGAUAACCAAAAUUUUCGAAAGGUUAUGCAUAGAAUAACUGGUGUCCUAAAAAGCUUCUCCAUUACCGAUUUCUUUCCGAGUUUCGGUUGGAUUGUUGAUCGAAUCAGUGGUGUUCAUGGGAAGUUGGAGAAGAGCUUUGGUGAGAUGGAUGCUUUUUUUCAAAAGGUAGUUGAUGAUCGUAUAAACAUGGACAAGGCAACUUCUGGAAAUGAAGAAAACAUUGUUGAUGUUUUGUUGAGAAUGAAGAGAGAUGGCUUUCAAUUUGAUGAACUCGUCCUUACUCAAGAUUGCAUUAAAGCACUAAUCAUGGUAAUAAGCUAAAUAUUUUAAAAUUUUGAUUAGAUGGUUCUAUAUUUUAUAAUCAUUUCAUUCUUAAAAAUUAAUUAGAUUUUUUCACAUUCGAACAAUUACAGAGUGAUCAGUUCAUCCUUAGAAACAUUUAACUUAACUAAAGAAAAAAAGAAAAACGGCAAUUUGUAGUGGUCUCCCAUUGGAGCUGUAAUAUAGUAUAUAGCAAAAAAUAUUACUUAGGUUAGAUGAAAAAAUUUUAUGGAGUAAAGUUGCAUCAAGAUGGGUGCAACAUAGCCAGAAACCCAGAUAUACAUAUUUUAUCAUGCAUCACUUAUUUUUGUAAUAUGUUUAAUCACAAGUUAUGAUAAACUUAACUUUACUUUUAAAAAAAAAAUUAUCAUUUUAUCUUUUUUUUCUUUUGUGACAGGUACAUAAUAUGAUAUUGCAUCUAACAUAUUUUUUCCUCGUAAUAUAUAUAUAUAGAAUUUUUAUAAUAGUAGAUUUUACAAAAUAUUUACAACAUAUAGCAAAUUCUAUCAACAAUUCUAUCAGUGAUAGUUAUUGAUAUUUUUUUUAUCAAUGAUAGAAUAAAUUUUUUUAUUAUAACUUGUAAAUAUUUUAAUUUAUUUUUCUAAUUUUAAAAAUGUCUCUAUAUAUAUUCGUUUUCAAAAUAUAUAAAUGUUUAGGUGCAUCUAAUGUUUAUGCAUUUUAUAAAAUUAUUCAAGUAGAUUAUUUACUUCUCUUUUAAGUUAUUUUAAUUAUUUUUUUGGUAGGGUUAGAAAGAGUCUAACAUAAAAAUGUGUGUGUCAAUAUUCUAUUUUAAGAUUUUUAAAGCAAAAAAAUCAAACCAAAUUCAAGUUUCAUUUUUUCUUUUUAUCUCAAAGAAGUGUUGUUCUUUUUAGGAUAUCUUUUUAGCUGGAGUGGAAACAGGAGCAACCACCAUUGUUUGGGCAAUGACAGAGUUAAUUAGAAACCCAAGAAUAAUGAAAAGGCUACAAACUCAUAUCAGAAGCCACAUAAAAAAAGAUCAAGUAAAAGAAAAGGACCUGGAAAGGCUUCCCUAUCUAAAAAUGGUAGUGAAAGAGGUUCUAAGGUUGCAUCCACCAGCCCCACUUCUCCUUUCAAGAGAAAUCACAUCUCAUUUUAAGCUUAAUGGUUAUGAUAUACAUCCCAAGGCUCAUCUUCAUGUUAAUGUGUGGGCCAUUGGACGAGAUCCAGAAUGUUGGGAUAACCCUGAAGAGUUUAUCCCAGAAAGAUUUAUGGAAAAUAACAUUGAUUAUAAAGGACAGAAUUAUGAAUUAUUACCUUUCGGAGGUGGUAGAAGAGUUUGUCCAGGAAUGAAUAUGGGAAUCUUUACAAUAGAGUUGACAUUGGCUAAUUUGUUACUUUGUUUUGAUUGGAAAUUGGGAGAUGGAAUGAAAGAAGAAGAUGUAGAUAUGGAAGAGAAUUUUGGUCUUGCUGUUGCCAAAAAGUUACCUCUAACACUUGUUCCCGUCCCUUACUUAGCUUAAACUACCUCUUAGUUUAUUUGCUACCCUAAUGGAAUAAAUAUGUUGCUCAAAUGGACCACCCUAGCUUUUAGUUAUAUAUUGUAAUUUAGAGUUCUAAAAUGUUUAUAUGAUAACCUACCUCUCUCUAUAUAUAUAAGAACUUAUGUUAGAAGAAGAUACAUUUUUGGUUUUGGGGUUAGAUUUAGUUAUUUAUUAAUAUUUUGUUUGUAUGCUUAUUUCACCCCUCAGAUGGGAAUUUAAUUUCUAUUAUAUGCCUAACUCUUUUAAAAUGAUAUGUUUUUUUUUCUUUUAAGUUUUGAGUUUUUUUUUUUUUUUCUAUUAUCAACAAUUGAUCAAGUAAGGGUAAAAAUUGCAACAUUUGUUUAAGUUAUUUAAUGUUUAAUUAAUAUGACGAUGAAGUUAGAAGUGUUGAUGGCAAAAUCUAGACAAAGAGAGUCUAUUGAUCGACCUUUACCUGUCAUGAAUUUGUAUUUUGGAAAGAGGUCACUUGCAAAGCAGCCAAAAUAACAUAUCUUGAUGUUUGCUUGCUCAAAGGCACUCUAAAUUUUAAGUUGAUUAGUCUUUGAGUAAGAAAUUUAGGAGAUGAGUUUAUUCGAUAUGAAAGUUUAAAGGAUUUAGACUUCAUUUAUCCUUUCAAAAAUAAGACUCUGUCUGGGUUGGGUUGGACUAAACAUAUAUAAUAGUUGAAGAAAAAUACAUAUAUUUGUCUUGAAAAAAUACUUACAAACUGCACAUCCCAUAUGCAUAAAAAUUAUCUAAUCAAUGAUAUGUUAGGUGACAAUUUUUUUUCAUUUCCGUUUAGAUAAUUCAAUUCUUUUUUUUGUGGGUAUAAUGGAAAUGCGAUACAUAUAGAUAUCAGUGCAUUAAAUGCACUCAUUUACUACUCUUUGUAUCAUUUAAUUUACUUGGUUGCAUUUCAUUUAGUUUAUUUUUCACAUCGUUGAACUUUUUUUAUCUUUUGCAGCAGAUUCAACUCUAUCUACCAAUAUAUCACAUAGCAAAAUUAUUAUUACUACUAUUAUUAUUAUAAUAGAAGAAGAAUGAAGAAAAGAGUUUACUAGAAAAUUGUAAUGAAAUACUGAAUUAUACCUAAUAUUGUUUUGGGUAAUGUUAAUCAAUGGUAGCAAUAUUUUCCAAGAUAAUAAGUAUAUAGGGAGAACUGUUAUCAAUCCAAAAGAUAAAGAUUGGCCUUGGCAUUACGUUAAUCUCAGACACAAAUUUCGCUCUACUAACCAAAUGUCUAUGGAUGUAUCAAUGUGAGCCAAAAUCUGUAUGGAGAUCUAUCAUAGAUGCUAUUCCAACUUGUUGGGAGAUUUUUCACAUAAAGGAAAUGAUAGCAGCUCAAAUGCUCCUUGGAGAUCCAUACAUAAAAGGAUUGAGUGGUAUAUAAAAGCAACAUGAAAUGGAAAGUGAAUAAUGAUAAAUAAUAGAGGCCUAUCGACUUCAAAAGGCAAGUUUUUUUUUUUUUUUUGUUAAUUACACACUCUCUAUUAUAUCUCUAAAUAUCAAUGUUUUGUUAUAGUCGUAUGGGCUUAUCUCUAGCUUUUGAACUUUUUGUUCCCUUGCGCUUUUAUGAAUAUAUAUUGGGUAUGAUAGAGGUUCAUUUAGUAUCUUUAAAAGGGUGCACCUACUAACCCACCGUUCGUAUCCUUUUUAAAAAAGAACAAUAAACUAAUCAACAAUGAAUAACAUUUUGAAGGAUUUUCAACAUUGAAUAUAUAUUAUAUACAUUAUUUAGAGGUAGCCUCUUGGAAAAUUGGUGAUUUGUCAUGUAGCCACCUAUUUUUAUCCUACCAAUAAUUUUCUCUAAAAAUAAUAUUAGUAAUAAUGGUUAAACUUUUAUUUAUUUAUUUUUAGAAAAAAAGGUAAAAAAUUUAGUAAUAACAUAUAUUAUUGAUAUCUCAUUUUCAUUAUUUUAGGACAUAAAAAUAAAUCAACUUAUUUUAAAUAAAAUAUUUUAAUAUCACAUCUAUAUUAUUUGUACUAUUUAAAGAAAAAAAUAAAUGAAUUUGUUUUAAAUAAAAUCUUCUAAUAUCAAUUUUAAGUAUUUUAUAUCAUUUUAGGAAAAAAAAGAAAAUUAAUUUCAAAAAAAAAAAUCUUUUAAUAUCCAUUUAAUUUAUUUAUUUAUUUUACAAAAUCUCAAAAAAUCGCAUUUAGUUUAGUUUAUUUAUUUUAGGAAAAUGAAAUUUACCUUAUUAAUAUAAUAUCAAAUUUGGAUUAUUCUUUUCUUAUUUUUUUUAUUGUUAUUAUGUUUCCAUUCUUUUACCAUUCACGUUCAUAUAUCAUAAUUAUUGUUAUAUGCACUUAAAUGUAACUCUUUGUAUUUAAAUUUUUUAAUGUUUUAAAAUUCUUCCAAUUUAAAAUUCUUUAUGUUUUAAAUAAAAGACAUUUUUUUAUAAAAAAAAUCAUUUAGCAAAUUUGUCUCUAAUGCUAUAAAUGUUUCAUGUUUUUUCAAAACCUUCAAAAUUUAACAUAUGAUUUCAUAAGAUUUCCUAAACCAGUCUUUUCUAAAAACUUAUACCGUUUUCCUUAAAAAAAAUCCUACGAUGGAAUCUAAAACUUUCUGGAAGUCCGUUAUUUCUAGAUUUUUGAGGUGAGGGAUCAAUAUAUUUGGAAGUCCGAGAUUUAAUCUCAAGAAAAAAUGAAUUUAAUUAGUAUUUUAAAAAAAUCUUUAUUCAAAGACUAGCCUAGGAUAGAUUUUGAGAAAUUGUAAUAAUUUCUCAUUUUCUUAAGGUGAGAAAUUUUAAAUUUGUAAUCUUAAUUAAUGGAAUAUUAUUCCACGCUUCAAACAUUGAAGCAAUAGGGUAAAAUAAGACAUUAGUUUAAAAAUAAAUUAAAACAUAUUUUCAAUUUAAGAUUUUAAAUUUGGGCACCGUUUUUUAAAUGGGUGUUGUGAGGUGCUAAUAACUUCCCCACACAAAUGACUCCCGAACUCAAUUCAAUUUUUUUCGCAGACAAUUUUUUUUGUUUACUUUAUUUCGGUAUCCAAUCACACCGUAAGAAAGAUUGGUGGCGACUCUUAUUUUAUUUUUAAACUAACUCUUUUAAGGACGUCGGCCGCUCCGCUUCGUCUCGGGCACAUGGCGACAUGUCAUAUAUAUAUAUAUAUAUAUAUAUAUAUAUAUAUAUAUAUAUAACCUAAUCAACAAGAGAAGUGAAGUAGAAAGCAACGACACUUUCACAUGGAGCGUUGAAUUUUGGAAAAAAACUUGGUUGCAAUCGGGAUUAAUAAAGUUCUUUAUAUCGUAUACGUUGCUUUCAAAUGAACUUCAUUUCUAAAUUUUUGAAGGACAAUAGAGGACGUGAUUGGAGAGUGAUUAGUCACCGAAAGCAGGAUUUGAACAACUACAAUAGCAGCAAAUAUUAUCAACAUUCAACCCAAUUAGCUAACCUAUAUCUACAUCAUCGUCCUUUACUUUAUUUUCAAUUGAUAUAAAUUGUCCAUUACUUGUUCCCAAUCCAAACAGCGGGUCCACUUCCAGAAAGCUCUAAAAAUUGAAAGACACUAUAAGAAAUGAAGUGAUGUAUAUUAUUUGAAUUAUUGAGGACAGUAACCCAAUCAUCGUCCUUUAUUUAUAUAAUUUGAUGUAGUUUUAUUAUCUACCACCAUCUACAUGUUACAUUCUUUCUCAAAUUAUAAAUUUAUUAUUUUAGACAAAUCAAAUUAAGGUGUGUUUUUUAUUGGUCAAAUUGAGUACAACAAUAGAAUAACCAACAGCUAAAAACUCAAGGAUAGAAAAGAUGCUUUCAUAUAUGAUACUUGAUUUUUUUCAAAAGAAAAAAAAGAAGGAAUAUGAAAAAAAGAAACAUAAAUAAGACAAAUAUAAGAGUUGAUUUUAUGGCCAAUAUAAUGUCGUUGCAAAUUACAAUAAUAUAACAAAACAGGGGAAGACCCAAUAUUAGAGCAAGUUUAGGUUUGUAUCCAUGACAGGAAGAUGAAAUGAGUAUUAAUUGGAGUUGAAGCAAGGAAUUGGAAGAAGUUGAAGAGGUGAUUUCUUGGAAACUGUAAUACCAAAUUCCUCUUCCAUGUCUAAAUCUUCUUCUUUCAUUCCAUUUGGUAAUUUCCAAUCAAAACACAUUAACAUAUUAGCCAACGUCAACUCUACCGUUGCAAUCCCCAUAUUCACACCUGGACAU
Molecule: long non-coding RNA, 24866 nt
Filed under: Cucumis sativus (cucumber)
Lineage: Eukaryota; Viridiplantae; Streptophyta; Magnoliopsida; Cucurbitales; Cucurbitaceae
Description: long non-coding RNA (CSAT_LNC002070)
Source: RNAcentral